GGUAGGUCAGUGCAGGGGAUAAGAUUGGAGGUUUGAGUAAGUCUGUGCAGGGGAUAGGAUUGAAAGUUUGGGUAGGUCAGUGCAGAUGGUGGAUUUGAGUAUUGAGUAGGUCAGUGCAGGGGAUAGGACUGGAAGUUUGGGUAGGUCAGUGCAGGGGAUAGGAUUGGAAGUUUUGGUAGGUCAGUGCAGGGGUCGUAAGAUUGUAAGGUUCUGAGACGUGGUAGCUUGCAGUUUCCGCACCCAGCGCACCUUGCCGUAUAUGACAAUUUGUCCCUUGUUACUAUUGCAGCACCGUGUCUGUCAUACUGUGUCUUUG
This 316-nucleotide long non-coding RNA is filed under the name Pelobates cultripes (western spadefoot toad). The record is from RNAcentral. Lineage: Eukaryota; Metazoa; Chordata; Amphibia; Anura; Pelobatidae.